This 622-nucleotide long non-coding RNA is filed under the name Anas platyrhynchos platyrhynchos (common mallard). RNAcentral describes it as "lncRNA (ENSAPLG00000017915.1)". Lineage: Eukaryota; Metazoa; Chordata; Aves; Anseriformes; Anatidae. The record is from RNAcentral.
GGUUAACCUGCUUUUGUGGAGAGAAGAGACCACAGCUGCUUGCCCUGGGUUCCUCUCCGAGGGAGUGAAGCUUUCCCAGGCUGAAGUAAAUCAUCGCAGCUCCCAGGCAAGGCACUGGUUCACAGUUCAUGCUAUUCACCUUUGGGUGGGAACAAAGAAGAAAAAGAAACAUCUAGCAGCAGCAGGAAGAAGCAGGACCCCACCAAGAUCUUGCAAUCUGGACUGCAGGGCUUUUUAUGACCUCCAGUAGAAGCCUAUUUUAGGAUAGGCAGUGAAUGAAGCAUAAUGUCAAGACACCAUCAUUGGAAAUAAGCCUGAAGCUGUGUAACGAGGCCUGCUGAGACUGGUCUUUGGGGUUAGAAAAAUGCCUGCUGCCUGCAGAAUCACAGAAAACAUGUAUUUGAAAUUUCCAGUUCUUCUGAUGACAUCAGUCUUUCCAUCAAUGCAACAAAGGAACUGCAUUUUGUAUCUGGAAAGAGAUUCUUACCAGGUACUACUUAGAAAACAUGCUGUAAAGGCUCUUUCUCAAGGAGGAGUAUUUGUUGUGACUGAUGGGUCAUGCUUCACUAGGUAUCCUGACCAUGAUAGUUCCUCUGAGACAUUAUUGAAUUACAAGGUCUGA